GAUAAACGCUGGCGGCGUGCUUUAUGCAUGCAAGUCGAACGGUCUCGAUUUAUCGAGAUAGUGGCAAACGGGUGAGUAACGCGUAAGUAACCUGUCCCUAAGUAGAGGAUAACUCUGAGAAAUUAGAGUUAAUACUGUAUGUAAUGCUGGAGGUAAGGCUCCAGCAUUAAAGCCUUCGGGCGCUUGGGGAGGGCUUGCGUCCGAUUAGCUAGUUGGUAGGGUAACGGCUUACCAAGGCAGUGAUCGGUAGCUGGUUUGAGAGGACAUCCAGCCACACUGGGACUGAGAUACGGCCCAGACUCCUACGGGUGGCUG
RNAcentral lists this ribosomal RNA (315 nucleotides) under uncultured Chloroflexota bacterium. Its description in RNAcentral is "bacterial SSU rRNA". It matches the Rfam family "Bacterial small subunit ribosomal RNA", at positions 28 to 351 of the family's 1533-position model. The record is from RNAcentral. Lineage: Bacteria; Bacillati; Chloroflexota.